This 1777-nucleotide ribosomal RNA is filed under the name uncultured soil eukaryote. RNAcentral describes it as "SSU rRNA". It matches the Rfam family "Eukaryotic small subunit ribosomal RNA". The record is from RNAcentral.
CCUGCCAGUAGUCAUAUGCUUGUCUCAAAGAUUAAGCCAUGCAUGUCUAAGUAUAAGCAACCAAAAUGCGAGACGGCGGACGGCUCAUUAAAUCAGUCAUAGUUCACGCGAAAGACUAAACUAAUCGGAUAACUGUAGUAAUUCUAGAGCUAAUACGUGCACCAAUGCCUUCUCGCAAGAGAGGGGUAUUCUUCAGAUACAAACCUACCGUAGCAAUACGGCCCAGGUGGAAACAUGAUGACUGAUCAAAUCGCACAGCCUUGAGCUGGCGAUAUUUCGUUCAAAUAUCUGCCCUAUCAACUUUCGAUGGUAGUGUAGUGGACUACCAUGGUGACAACGGGUAACGGGGAAUUAGGGUUCGGUUCCGGAGAGGGGGCCUGAGAGAUGGCCACCACUUCCAAGGAAGGCAGCAGGCGCGCAAAUUACCCAAUAAUACCACAUUGAGGUAGUGACAAUAAAUAACAAUACAGGCCUUUCAAAAGGGCUUGUAAUUGGAAUGAGUAUAAUUUAAAUCCUUUUGCGAGGAACAAUUGGAGGACAAGUCAGGUGCCAGCACCCGCGGUAAUUCCUGCUCCAAUAGCGUAUAUUAAAGUUGUUGCAGUUAAAAAGCUCGUAGUCGGAUUCUGGGAGUGGAUGAACCGGUCUUGUGCAAACUUGCACUGGGUCGAAGCUCUCGAUAUUCCUGGGCGCUCCGUCUUGCUCUUAACUGAGUGGGGCGGUUGUCCAGGAUGUUUACUUUGAAGAAAUUAGAGUGUUCAAAGCAGGCACAAUUGGCAUGAAUAGAUUAGCAUGGGAUAAUGAAAUAGGACUUCGACUUAUUUUGUAGGUUAUUGAGUGGGGGUAAUGAUCAAUAGGAAUUGUUGGGGAUAUUCAUAUUUAGCGGCUAGAGGUGAAAUUCUUGGAUUCGCUAAAGAUGAACUUCUGCGAAAGCAUUUAUCAAGGAUGUUUUCAUUGAUCAAGAACGAAAGUUAGGGGAUCGAAGACGAUCAGAUACCGUCGUAGUCUUAAAGCACUUUUUGAGAAAUCAUAAGUCUUUGGGUUCUGGGGGGAGUAUGGUCGCAAGUCUGAAACUUAAAGGAAUUGACGGAAGGGCACACCAGGAGUGGAGCCUGCGGCUUAAUUUGACCCAACACGGGGAAACUUACCAGGUCCAGACACAUGAAGGAUUGACAGAUUGAGAGCUCUUUCUUGAUUCUGUGGGUGGUGGUGCAUGGCCGUUCUUAGUGCGUGGGGUAACUCGGCUGGUCAAUUCCGUUAACGAACGAGACCUCCGCCUAUUAAAUAGAUUGACUGAUAACCUAGACGGGUGAAGUUGCUUGACGGGGUGGUGGCUUGCCAUUGCCUCUCUUGUGAUGGAUCUCUGGUCUAUUGAGCAAACUUCUUAAAGGGACUAUUGAUUGUAAAUUAAAGGAAGAAGGAGGCAAUAACAGGUCUGUGAUGCCCUUAGAUGUCUUGGGCUGCACGCGCGCUACAAUGAUGUGAAACAAUAAGCAGGAAACCCUUCCGGGAUUGAGCAGUCUCGGAAAACAGACAAUUCACGUCAUGAUUGGGAUCGAUUUUUGUAAUUAUUAGUCUUAAACGAGGAAUUCCUAGUAAUCGCAAGUCAUCAGCUUGCGUUGAUUACGUCCCUGCCCUUUGUACACACCGCCCGUCGCUCCUACCGAUUGGAUGAUCCGGUGAAGGCUUGAGAGGGAAGUGUUGGUGCUGGGGAAACCUAAGUGCCACGCUUUCCGAACUCGUCUAAAUCUUAUUAUCUAGAGGAAGGAGAAGUCGUAAC